Molecule: RNA transcript, 1349 nt
Organism: Trifolium pratense (red clover)
Lineage: Eukaryota; Viridiplantae; Streptophyta; Magnoliopsida; Fabales; Fabaceae
Gene name: ARM REPEAT PROTEIN INTERACTING WITH ABF2-like
Exons: 6
Source: RefSeq, a predicted model, not a curated record
GAAUCUUAUAUUUUUUAAUAAAUUAAAGUAAUUAAGGUUUAGCGACAGAAUUGGUGACGAAAUAAAUCCCUCACUAACAAUCCGUCAUAAAAUUCCCUCACAAAACCUAACAAGUAAUUGUUAGUGAGGGAUUUGGAGAACAAAAUUCUCUUUAAAUAUUCCGUCACAAAUUGCUCUAUUAAUUUUCAAGUAUUUCAAAGUUGUUUCUUAAUCUUAAAUCUUAAUAUAAAAAACGCACCACUCAUCGGUGACGAAACCACUCGUAACGGUAGCGCUUCUCUCUGCUCGCCGAGUUUACCUCAACAACAAUAAUUAUUCCUUCAACUCAAUCGAGAUUUUCGCUUCCUUCAUUUCACAAUCAACGCUGGAUAAUCUCUGAUUAGGCUUUUUCCGUUCUUGUAAUUUUCCCCAAUUUGGUUUGAAUUUUUAGUAUUCACGUGUUUCGUGUUCCGAUUCAUGCGCUUUUGGAUACAAAUUCAUUGUUAUAUAGCUUGAUUCGCGCUUCAUUCAAUUUAAUCGGAUUUUUCUUCAUUGCAACAAUCAAUCAUCAUUACUCAGGUUGAAGAAGUUGUGAAGAAGAUGGAAAUUGAGUUUGGAAGUGGAUGGAUAGCUCAUCAGCACUGUAAGGACGGUAAGGCUCCAGAUUGAUAUCAAUUCAUCCCUAUAUUUCUCUGAGAACUAUUGGAUGUACAUGUUGGUGUGAUCAGAAAUCUGGUCCACUCCUCCCCCAAUAUAAAGAAAGAAGUUAUUCUUGCUGGAGCCUUGCAACCUGUUAUUGGAUUACUUAGCUCCUGUUACUCAAAAAGUCAGAGAGAAGCAGCAUUGUUACUUGGACGGUUUGCAGUGACCGAUUCAGACUGCAAGGUUCACAUUGUACAAAGAGGUGUUGUAUGACCUUUGAUAGAUAUGCUUCAGUCUCCCGAUGUUCAAGUAUGCCUUUGACUUUUAUAUUAUUCUUUACUUUCAACAUGCAUAUCAGCUAAUGAAAAUUAAUGAAGGGAAGCUAAUAUGUUGGGGUUCGAUAAUGGAUUAAGAGCCUAAAAGAUGGAGGUUUCUAGGAAUAAAUUGAGACAAAGCUCAAGGAACCAGCAUUGUAAAAAGUUCAAUUUUUAUGGUUUGAGUUGAAUGUGUAAGGUUGUGGGAGCAUUCCUUGUAUAGUUGUUGUAAGAGUUCAAGUUUUAUUAUCCUUCAAGUCUUCAACUAUUGUAUGUUCACUAUUUAGAUUUGUGAGAUAUUUUUGUUUUGAGAAUUUGGAUGUAAAUGUUUCAAGAACAUAGUAUAUGUACUAAAACCACUUAUGGUGUAUAUGAAUCAAAUUUGUGUAUUUUGUUGAUUAUCAAAAAAAAAAA